Non-coding RNA from Pelobates cultripes (western spadefoot toad), 647 nucleotides. Lineage: Eukaryota; Metazoa; Chordata; Amphibia; Anura; Pelobatidae. The record is from the annotation of a GenBank genome assembly.
CUAUUUUAGUGCGAUCUGUGCGUGCUUUCAAUUGAGAAGCUAACUGCGCUCCCGCUCUAUUGCCCAUGGCAAAAAAUCUGUUAAGGAUAAGACAAUUGGGACGUGGUCGGACAAUGAGAUUAGCCCCAUCUCUGCCUUUUGCACUUUAGCCAUCAUAUUAGAGGGCAAUAGGAACCUAUGUAUUCUGGUGUAUGUGUUAUGGGCCAUGGAGUGAAAUGUAUAGUCCAGUGAGGUUGGGUGUAGGAUUCUCCAGGCAUCUAGGAAGCCGUGUUGUAAUAUGGUAUCUCGUAUUUUGGCUGUGGAAGUUUUUAGUUUAGAAGUCGUGGCUGCGGAUACUGUGUUAAAGGAAGAGGAGUCCACGGAACUGUCGAUGAUGAAGUUAGUGUUACCCUUAAUGAUAAUGUCACCAAAUUUGUGUAGGUUGGCAGGGGCGAAAUGUUUUUCCAAGAAGUCAGUAUGAGUGUCGUGUGGGCUGUAUAUGUUUAGAAAAGUGUAAGGUUCAUUAUUCACAUAACAUUGAAUCAGUAAGCAUCUACCAGCUUUGUCCCCCAUCUUUUUAACCAGUGUGAAGGACACAGCCCCACUGAUUAGUAUAGACACACACCUUUUCUUUGUUUUAUAGCAAGAAUGGAAGUCAUGUGGGAAAG